RNAcentral lists this long non-coding RNA (338 nucleotides) under Elaeis guineensis (African oil palm). Its description in RNAcentral is "long non-coding RNA (EGUI_LNC048285)". The record is from RNAcentral. Lineage: Eukaryota; Viridiplantae; Streptophyta; Magnoliopsida; Arecales; Arecaceae.
GGCCAACCUCAAAAGAGGUCUCCGCCCGGACUCCCACGGGAGCUGGGCUUCAUCCUCGACACCAACAACUUCAGCCACAAGCAGACUCCGCCCGGACUCCUACGGGAGCCGGGCUCCGCCGCCGACAACUUCAGCAGCAAGUGGACUCCGCCCGGACUCCUACGGGAGUCGGGCUCCGUCCUCAACGUCAACUACUGGUAAGCCUCGUCCGGACUCCUACGGGAGCCAGACUUCGCCUUUAACCUUGAUUGCAGGAAGACUUCGCCCGGACUCCUACGGGAGCCGAACUUCGUCCUCGACUCCAACGACUGCAAGACAGGCUGCGUCCGGACUCCUAC